This is a long non-coding RNA of Xiphias gladius (swordfish), 741 nucleotides long. RefSeq lists it as uncharacterized. The record is from RefSeq and is a predicted model, not a curated record. The transcript has 3 exons. NCBI's taxonomy places the organism in Eukaryota, Metazoa, Chordata, Actinopteri, Istiophoriformes, Xiphiidae.
UUCCGUUUUUUUUUUAAACCAAAAACUUUUACUUACUUCUUCCGCCACUGCUAAGAUGAAACAAUGAGGAUGUAAGGUGAAUGUGAAGGUGAAGGCUUAUAGGAUGGAUCGCAUGGCAGAGGUCCAGCAAAUUCCCCCCUUUUCUCCGUUCACUUCCUGAGCAAGGUGUCGAGGAUGUGAACAAAACAGGACCCGCCUCCUGCGACGCAGCCGCCGCCGCCGCCACCACCACCGGGGGGGGAGGUUGUUGACAGGCGCCCCCGCCCUGCCUCUAUUGUCAGCGGUCCGAGAGGAAUAUUUAUUUUAUUUUGAACGUGGAGGAAGCAGGAGAAGAACGGCCAAGGUGACAGUCUAUGGAGUCAUCUGGACAUCAGUGACAAAUCCAAAAUGUCACAGCAGACAAAACUGUGGAGGUGCAGAAAUACCUCGGUGAAACCAAUCUUGGCCUGCUUGAGGAUCCACUGCAAUCCUGGGAAAGACAGAAAUGAAUUUAUCCAUGCCUUUAAAAGCUGUUAAUGUGGUUUUUAUGUACCCCAGCUUCAUCUGUGCCCUGUGAAAGAUUGCUCUCAAAGGCAGGGGAGAUCAUUUCAGAAAAACUAAAUUGUCUUCGUCCCAAAACACAAGUUCAAGUCACAUUUCUUAAUAAAAAUGAAAUGUUUUCCCAAAAUCAUUCUCCAUUAUACAUCUGCAUUGCUGACAUUGCCCGGUGACUACUCACUUUUCACACUUAAGUUAAAACAC